AUUGAACGCUGGCGGCAGGCCUAACACAUGCAAGUCGAACGGUAACAGGAAGAAGCUUGCUUCUUUGCUGACGAGUGGCGGACGGGUGAGUAAUGUCUGGGAAACUUCCUGAUGGAGGGGGAUAACUACUGGAAACGGUAGCUAAUACCGCAUAACGUCGCAAGACCAAAGAGGGGGACCUUCGGGCCUCUUGCCAUCGGAUGUGCCCAGAUGGGAUUAGCUAGUAGGUGGGGUAACGGCUCACCUAGGCGACGAUCCCUAGCUGGUCUGAGAGGAUGACCAGCCACACUGGAACUGAGACACGGUCCAGACUCCUACGGGAGGCAGCAGUGGGGAAUAUUGCACAAUGGGCGCAAGCCUGAUGCAGCCAUGCCGCGUGUAUGAAGAAGGCCUUCGGGUUGUAAAGUACUUUCAGCGGGGAGGAAGGGAGUAAAGUUAAUACCUUGGCUCAUUGACGUUACCCGCAGAAGAAGCACCGGCUAACUCCGUG
This 490-nucleotide ribosomal RNA is filed under the name uncultured bacterium. RNAcentral describes it as "partial 16S ribosomal RNA". It matches the Rfam family "Bacterial small subunit ribosomal RNA", at positions 30 to 507 of the family's 1533-position model. The record is from RNAcentral.